AUUGAACGCUGGCGGCAGGCUUAACACAUGCAAGUCGAGCGGGGUGAUGGUGCUUGCACUAUCACUUAGCGGCGGACGGGUGAGUAAUGCUUAGGAAUCUGCCUAUUAGUGGGGGACAACAUCUCGAAAGGGAUGCUAAUACCGCAUACGUCCUACGGGAGAAAGCAGGGGAUCACUUGUGACCUUGCGCUAAUAGAUGAGCCAAAGUCGGAUUAGCUAGUUGGUGGGGUAAAGGCCUACCAAGGCGACGAUCUGUAGCGGGUCUGAGAGGAUGAUCCGCCACACUGGGACUGAGACACGGCCCAGACUCCUACGGGAGGCAGCAGUGGGGAAUAUUGGACAAUGGGGGGAACCCUGAUCCAGCCAUGCCGCGUGUGUGAAGAAGGCCUUAUGGUUGUAAAGCACUUUAAGCGAGGAGGAGGCUCCUUUGGUUAAUACCCAAGAUGAGCGGACGUUACUCGCAGAAUAAGCACCGGCUAACUCUGUGCCAGCCGCCGCGGUAA
RNAcentral lists this ribosomal RNA (503 nucleotides) under uncultured bacterium. RNAcentral's name for it is "partial 16S ribosomal RNA". It matches the Rfam family "Bacterial small subunit ribosomal RNA", at positions 30 to 523 of the family's 1533-position model. The record is from RNAcentral.